RNAcentral lists this ribosomal RNA (426 nucleotides) under uncultured bacterium. RNAcentral describes it as "bacterial SSU rRNA". It matches the Rfam family "Bacterial small subunit ribosomal RNA", at positions 356 to 773 of the family's 1533-position model. The record is from RNAcentral.
CGAGAGGCUUCGGCAAUGGGGGAAACCCUGACCGAGCGACGCCGCGUGGGCGAUGAAGGCCGUUAGGUUGUAAAGCCCUGUCGAGCGGGAAAAAGUGUAGGCAGGUGAACAAUCUGCUUAUUUGAUGGUACCGUUAAAGGAAGCUCCGGCCAACUCCGUGCCAGCAGCCGCGGUAAUACGGGGGGAGCGAACGUUGUUCGGAAUUACUGGGCGUAAAGGGCGUGCAGGCGGUCCUGUAAGAGAUGUGUGAAAUGCCCUGGCUCAACCAGGGAAAUGCACCUCUGACUGCAGGACUUGAGUAUAGGAGAGGAUGGGGGAAUUCCCGGUGUAGCGGUGAAAUGCAUUGAUAUCGGGAGGAACACCAGUGGCGAAGGCGCCCAUCUGGCCUAAUACUGACGCUCAGGCGCGAAAGCUAGGGGAGCAAAC